Molecule: small nucleolar RNA, 87 nt
Filed under: Buceros rhinoceros silvestris
Lineage: Eukaryota; Metazoa; Chordata; Aves; Bucerotiformes; Bucerotidae
Description: Small nucleolar SNORD12/SNORD106
Rfam family: Small nucleolar SNORD12/SNORD106
About the family: This family belong to the C/D class of snoRNA which contain the C (UGAUGA) and D (CUGA) box motifs. This family includes the human ortholog of mouse snoRNA HBII-99 and human snoRNA U106.
Source: Rfam by way of RNAcentral
GCUGGUGGAAGUGAUGACAUUUUUUUCCCCGUCAGAGCGACCGUGUUGAUUCUCGCUGUUAAGCCAGAUCACGUCUGAUGCACCAGC